CUCCUAUCUAUCUCCAGGGUGUCACUGUCAUGAUAGGCGGGGUUGUUAUAUACUCCAGUGUUGUUGUAGUGCGACAUAGGGAUCCUUGGCUUGAUCUUCUUCUAUAGUGGUUAACCCGGUGGGGGUUUCUGUCUGUCCCUCUCUUCUUUAGUCCCCUAGAGGUCUGAAAGGUCCUCCUACUGUAUUCUCAGUAAAACAAUUCAUGAGAAUCAGCUUGCCAUUACAUAAAAUGAGAACUGGAAACGAGACAUAAACGUGCCACUAGCAACAAGACCCCCUUGGGUAUAAAGAAGGGGCAAAUACAAGACUUCUGAGACCAUACCUCGAUGCUAUUCCCAUCGUACUUUCACAAAUAAAGCUGUGCUAUCUAAUACACAUCACAUGUUUUGGAAGGAAUGGCUGCCUUCAGUAAGUUAUUUAACUCCCCUUUCCUAUCCCUGUGUAUAUCAUUAUUUAUUAACACAGGGAUAUGGUUUCUGUUUUGCCAUGGUCUGUGCCUCAGUGCUGCCCUAUGGCAGUAAACUAGGCAAAGUAGAAGUAACAAAUUCCCGAGCAACAAAGUCUGGAAAGAGAUCCGACUAACAAAUGUGUUGACAUUUUAGUUUAUUGUGGGGAAAACACAGAAGUUAUAUGUGACAGGGAAUCUUUGUUGUCAAAUUAAGAGAAAUAUAACCAUGUUCCAAAUAAUAAUAGUAUACAUUGCUGUUAGAUACAGUAACAAUUUAAAACUAUUGUAUCAAACAAUUGUUUAAAAGAGUAAAUCCACAGAGUGUAAUUACCUGGUUAAUGUGCUGCUUACUCAGGGAAAUCUGCUGGCUGCUUGAACAGAUGUUGCAGGCCGAGGAUGCCUCCCCUUUUCCUUAUAAUCCAGGUUUGAAGUGUCAACUGUGGUAGCUGGAGUGCAGUUCUGAGAGAUAUACCUUUGUUGAACUUUAUCACUGUGUGUCUGUCAGACUACCCGGAACUGUGCACUUGAAAUAAAGGUAAAAGUCCGGUGGUUCUAAAUGCCGUAUGCAAAUCUAAUAGGCUGCUAUGGUUGGCAUAAUGACAAGUAUUUCCAAAUUAUUCCCAUAGGACGUGAAAAUUAAUUGGCAUAAUAAGAUAAGGGACGGCCAAGGGCUCAACUGUGUUAUUACGAAUGACUGCAUGUGCAGUGUGUAAUUGG
Molecule: long non-coding RNA, 1165 nt
Organism: Oncorhynchus tshawytscha (Chinook salmon)
Lineage: Eukaryota; Metazoa; Chordata; Actinopteri; Salmoniformes; Salmonidae
Source: Ensembl